RNAcentral lists this ribosomal RNA (523 nucleotides) under unidentified oral bacterium RP55-51. RNAcentral describes it as "bacterial SSU rRNA". It matches the Rfam family "Bacterial small subunit ribosomal RNA", at positions 8 to 521 of the family's 1533-position model. The record is from RNAcentral.
AGAGUUUGAUCCUGGCUCAGGACGAACGCUGGCGGCGUGCCUAAUACAUGCAAGUAGAACGCUGAAGGAGGAGCUUGCUUUCUUUGCUGACGAGUGGCGGACGGGUGAGUAAUGCUUGGGAAUCUGGCUUAUGGAGGGGGAUAACUACGGGAAACUGUAGCUAAUACCGCGUAAUAUCGAGAGAUUAAAGGGUGGGACCGCAAGGCCACCUGCCAUGAGAUGAGCCCAAGUGGGAUUAGGUAGUUGGUGAGGUAAAGGCUCACCAAGCCGACGAUCUCUAGCUGGUCUGAGAGGAUGACCAGCCACACUGGAACUGAGACACGGUCCAGACUCCUACGGGAGGCAGCAGUGGGGAAUAUUGCACAAUGGGGGGAACCCUGAUGCAGCCAUGCCGCGUGAAUGAAGAAGGCCUUCGGGUUGUAAAGUUCUUUCGGUAGCGAGGAAGGCACUUAGUUUAAUAAACUAGGUGAUUGACGUUAACUACAGAAGAAGCACCGGCUAACUCCGUGCCAGCAGCCGCGGU